Molecule: ribosomal RNA, 1369 nt
Filed under: uncultured bacterium
Lineage: Bacteria
Description: bacterial SSU rRNA
Rfam family: Bacterial small subunit ribosomal RNA
Source: RNAcentral
GACGAACGCUGGCGGCGUGCCUAAUACAUGCAAGUAGAACGCUGAAGAGAGGAGCUUGCUCUUCUUGGAUGAGUUGCGAACGGGUGAGUAACGCGUAGGUAACCUGCCUUGUAGCGGGGGAUAACUAUUGGAAACGAUAGCUAAUACCGCAUAACAAUGGAUGACACAUGUCAUUUAUUUGAAAGGGGCAAUUGCUCCACUACAAGAUGGACCUGCGUUGUAUUAGCUAGUAGGUGAGGUAACGGCUCACCUAGGCGACGAUACAUAGCCGACCUGAGAGGGUGAUCGGCCACACUGGGACUGAGACACGGCCCAGACUCCUACGGGAGGCAGCAGUAGGGAAUCUUCGGCAAUGGGGGCAACCCUGACCGAGCAACGCCGCGUGAGUGAAGAAGGUUUUCGGAUCGUAAAGCUCUGUUGUAAGUCAAGAACGAGUGUGAGAGUGGAAAGUUCACACUGUGACGGUAGCUUACCAGAAAGGGACGGCUAACUACGUGCCAGCAGCCGCGGUAAUACGUAGGUCCCGAGCGUUGUCCGGAUUUAUUGGGCGUAAAGCGAGCGCAGGCGGUUUGAUAAGUCUGAAGUUAAAGGCUGUGGCUCAACCAUAGUUCGCUUUGGAAACUGUCAAACUUGAGUGCAGAAGGGGAGAGUGGAAUUCCAUGUGUAGCGGUGAGAUGCGUAGAUAUAUGGAGGAACACCGGUGGCGAAAGCGGCUCUCUGGUCUGUAACUGACGCUGAGGCUCGAAAGCGUGGGGAGCGAACAGGAUUAGAUACCCUGGUAGUCCACGCCGUAAACGAUGAGUGCUAGGUGUUGGAUCCUUUCCGGGAUUCAGUGCCGCAGCUAACGCAUUAAGCACUCCGCCUGGGGAGUACGACCGCAAGGUUGAAACUCAAAGGAAUUGACGGGGGCCCGCACAAGCGGUGGAGCAUGUGGUUUAAUUCGAAGCAACGCGAAGAACCUUACCAGGUCUUGACAUCCCGAUGCUAUUUCUAGAGAUAGAAAGUUACUUCGGUACAUCGGUGACAGGUGGUGCAUGGUUGUCGUCAGCUCGUGUCGUGAGAUGUUGGGUUAAGUCCCGCAACGAGCGCAACCCCUAUUGUUAGUUGCCAUCAUUCAGUUGGGCACUCUAGCGAGACUGCCGGUAAUAAACCGGAGGAAGGUGGGGAUGACGUCAAAUCAUCAUGCCCCUUAUGACCUGGGCUACACACGUGCUACAAUGGUUGGUACAACGAGUUGCGAGUCGGUGACGGCAAGCUAAUCUCUUAAAGCCAAUCUCAGUUCGGAUUGUAGGCUGCAACUCGCCUACAUGAAGUCGGAAUCGCUAGUAAUCGCGGAUCAGCACGCCGCGGUGAAUACGUUCCCGGGCCU